RNAcentral lists this long non-coding RNA (1594 nucleotides) under Toxoplasma gondii VEG. Lineage: Eukaryota; Apicomplexa; Conoidasida; Eucoccidiorida; Sarcocystidae. The record is from RNAcentral.
CACAUACGCGUUUUUAUGUGUCGAGGAGUUCCAGCAUCGCAAAACAGGCGCUUCUGUCGAGCCCGCCACAGGUUGUAUCCAGCGAGAAAUCCUCGUCCGUAGCAAUUUUUUGUUCCUUUUCUUGUUUAUCGUCCUUCAAAUUGUCGAGUUCAACGGUGUGCAAGGAAUUUGAAAGGUCCAUCUCUACAAGAAUAACUCCGAAAGCGCUCGGGAAAUGCAGACAACGCUACCAAAGUUGUGCGUGCAGCAGCGCUAGCCCGCACACUGCGGUGUACAGACACCGCAAGACCGAGCAACAAAUUACGCUUUGUGGGAUUGAAUGCUGAAAUUAGGCGGCCGACAUUAUGAAUGAUGUGCAUAGAACGGUAUUUUGAGAAGGGGAACAAGAAGACGUUUCUAAAAACCGAUUCGUUUUGGAAGCAGACCGCUGGUUCCGGUUUUUUUUGUUCCCGUGAAAAGCAGGUCGCCUGUCCUGGCCCUCAAAUCAAGACAGACGUGAGAGGAAGCCAUCUCUAACAGCAGGAUCGCCUCCUAGGCCCGUCUACGCUGUCUCCCAAUUGGCAUUUUGCCAGGCAACAGAGGGUAGCAACCAGCAGAACAGUGUUGCAGAAGGUGCAGGUGCUCCAAGACAGUAUACCCACAAGCACUUUCGCCGGAUGAACUAGUCUGCUGCGUCGGAGCCACGGCAAGAACGGUUCCUGAUCAAAGCUACAUGGCAAUUUGUCCGUAACAUGACUCAGCAAUAUCUGAAUUUCGACAUCCUGGGAUGUAUUUCCACAGACGCAUGGGUGUGCACGUGGAUACUUGACCGUUUUGCCGCUGCGGCAGCGGCGAAACGCCACAGGCGAACAUAAAAAUGUCCUCGAGGGAGGUUCCUCCGUAGAAAGGCGACGCUCCAAAGCAGUUCUGUUUGUUUUGGUGUCGUCGAGCUUGCUUUCCUCGGGGGAGAUCAUACAGAUUUGUUCCCCUCGUGCAACAUUUCUUCGAAGAAAAGCAGGUCACGGUGAAAGACUUUGUGGCAUGGAUUUCCAUAGUUUUCUGUGUGGCAUUCCCCCCAUCUUCUCAAGUGAUACGAUGUAGCUACAGGCAAUGGAGAAUUCUAUGCCAGCAAUUGUUUGAGGCUCUCGGAUAUGCACUUCCUUGUGUGUGUCCCCAAGCGACUGCUGCCCGUGAGUAGCCGUCCGCAUGUGGGUAUGCUGUUGCUACCAGUACGUUGUUUCUAUCUGUCCAAAUAGCGAUCUUUGUGUUUGUGUGAAUUCGGACACUCGAGGGCCCUCGAAACAAAAGGGACGUCAAAUGCUGAGGAGCCCACUGCAAGAUGACCUGAACCUGUGGUAAAACGCUGGAGAAACGCAGUCAUCGCUGUACACGAGUCAAGAACACGCAAAGACCACAGCCAACCUAUAUUACUGGACCGUGCGUGUUCCAUUGUUUGCAUCGUUAUGUUCUAAAUGUAUUGUGCAUCUGUUCAAAUCUGUAUAGUCUGCCGCAAGUUCAAUGUUCGUGAUACGCCUGCGCGGCAGACUGAAAAUUUCAACAUGCUCGUAACGCAUGUGCGCGUCUGGUCCACUGCUUCUGAUGUCUUUGUUUGCCG